Molecule: long non-coding RNA, 831 nt
Organism: Cyprinus carpio carpio
Lineage: Eukaryota; Metazoa; Chordata; Actinopteri; Cypriniformes; Cyprinidae
Source: Ensembl
AUGGCUGUCAGUGUAAAUGAAGAAAGAUGUUUUUGUUGCCAGAUGGUGCAGCUACGACAUCUGCUAGCAGAAGCUAACCGGGCCAUGCUAACCAGUCAAACUCUGACCCCUGGUUUCCCCCUUGUGAACGGCUCUGCCUGCAGGUCUCAUGAUUCACGCUGAAACUCUGACACUAAUGACUGCAUUACUGCGGAUGGUGUGGGUGUUUCAGAACGGCUCCUGCUUUCAAUCGGUGUCUGAGGAUGCUGGAGACGCUGUGGGAGGGUGAAACUUUGGACUGCUUGUAAUUAUGACAAAUAAAAAGAGAGAAAAAGUUUUCAAAUAUGUCUCUCUUUAACCCUCUCCAACUUUCUAGUCUUUCUGUAUUUUUUCAUUUGAUCCACAUUACUUAAUUUCUUUCUCCAGGCAUAGCACAGACUCUGUCACGACAAACCUCCAGUGCAAAUAAAGUCAAAAUUACAUCAGGCAACAUUUCUACAAAUGCAACACACCUAAAAGAUAGAAACCUCUAAGGACAGAGGUGUUUUCAACCCAUAUUACGUUCCAAAAGAUCCACAAUCCUGAGGCAUUGUGGCAAUCAUUACAACAUCAGCCUCAGCCUUCCUUUGAAUACACAUAAUCAGUUCUGCGGAAUGAUCAAAAGCAGAAACAUGAAAGAAUUUCACAUUUUAUGAAAGCAAAGAUUAAACAGUAGGCAUGUAAAAAAUGCUGUCUGAAAAGUUCAUAUUACAUUAUAAAUCCCAAAACAGACGAGACAACCAACUUUAUUAGCAUAGUUUUUUUUAACAUCACUUUUCAACACUAUAUUCUAAUAUUCAGAAUCAGACUUAA